CAGGACGAACGCUGGCGGCGUGCUUAACACAUGCAAGUCGAACGGAAUCCAUGGUGUAGCAAUACACCGGAAGAUUUAGUGGCGAACGGGUGAGGAUCACGUGAGAAACCUGCCCCAGACUUUGGGAUAACAGUUGGAAACGACUGCUAAUACCGAAUGACGUCGGAGAACCGCAUGGUUCACUGACGAAAGGAAAUCCGGUUUGGGAGGGUCUCGCGGCCUAUCAGCUUGUUGGUGGGGUAAUGGCCUACCAAGGCAACGACGGGUAGCUGGUCUGAGAGGAUGAUCAGCCACACUGGGACUGAGACACGGCCCAGACUCCUACGGGAGGCAGCAGUGGGGAAUCUUGCGCAAUGGGCGAAAGCCUGACGCAGCAACGCCGCGUGCGGGAUGAAGGCCUUCGGGCUGUAAACCGCUUUCAGCAGGAACGAAAAUGACGGUACCUGCAGAAGAAGCACCGGCUAACUAUGUGCCAGCAGCCGCGGUAA
This 488-nucleotide ribosomal RNA is filed under the name uncultured bacterium. Its description in RNAcentral is "bacterial SSU rRNA". It matches the Rfam family "Bacterial small subunit ribosomal RNA", at positions 25 to 523 of the family's 1533-position model. The record is from RNAcentral.